GACGAACGUUGGCGGCGUGCUUAACACAUGCAAGUCGAACGGAAAGGCCCUGCUUUUGUGGGGUGCUCGAGUGGCGAACGGGUGAGUAACACGUGAGUAACCUGCCCUUGACUUUGGGAUAACUUCAGGAAACUGGGGCUAAUACCGGAUAGGAGCUCCUGCUGCAUGGUGGGGGUUGGAAAGUUUCGGCGGUUGGGGAUGGACUCGCGGCUUAUCAGCUUGUUGGUGGGGUAGUGGCUUACCAAGGCUUUGACGGGUAGCCGGCCUGAGAGGGUGACCGGCCACAUUGGGACUGAGAUACGGCCCAGACUCCUACGGGAGGCAGCAGUGGGGAAUAUUGCACAAUGGGCGGAAGCCUGAUGCAGCAACGCCGCGUGCGGGAUGACGGCCUUCGGGUUGUAAACCGCUUUCGCCUGUGACGAAGCGUGAGUGACGGUAAUGGGUAAAGAAGCACCGGCUAACUACGUGCCAGCAGCCGCGGUGAUACGUAGGGUGCGAGCGUUGUCCGGAUUUAUUGGGCGUAAAGGGCUCGUAGGUGGUUGAUCGCGUCGGAAGUGUAAUCUUGGGGCUUAACCCUGAGCGUGCUUUCGAUACGGGUUGACUUGAGGAAGGUAGGGGAGAAUGGAAUUCCGGGUGGAGCGGUGGAAUGCGCAGAUAUCAGGAGGAACACCAGUGGCGAAGGCGGUUCUCUGGGCCUUUCCUGACGCUGAGGAGCGAAAGCGUGGGGAGCGAACAGGCUUAGAUACCCUGGGUAGUCCACGCUGUAAACGGUGGGUACUAGGUGUGGGGUCCAUUCCACGGGUUCCGUGCCGUAGCUAACGCUUUGAGUACCCCGCCUGGGGAGUACGGCCGCAAGGCUAAAACUCAAAGGAAUUGACGGGGCCCCGCACAAGCGGCGGAGCAUGCGGAUUAAUUCGAUGCAACGCGUAGAACCUUACCUGGGUUUGACAUGGAUCGGGAGUGCUCAGAGAUGGGUGUGCCUCUUUUGGGGUCGGUUCACAGGUGGUGCAUGGCUGUCGUCAGCUCGUGUCGUGAGAUGUUGGGUUAAGUCCCGCAACGAGCGCAACCCUUGUUCACUGUUGCCAGCACGUUAUGGUGGGGACUCAGUGGAGACCGCCGGGGUCAACUCGGAGGAAGGUGGGGAUGACGUCAAGUCAUCAUGCCCCUUAUGUCCAGGGCUUCACGCAUGCUACAAUGGCUGGUACAGAGAGUGGCGAGCCUGUGAGGGUGAGCGAAUCUCGGAAAGCCGGUCUCAGUUCGGAUUGGGGUCUGCAACUCGACCUCAUGAAGUCGGAGUCGCUAGUAAUCGCAGAUCAGCAACGCUGCGGUGAAUACGUUCCCGGGGCU
This 1347-nucleotide ribosomal RNA is filed under the name uncultured bacterium. Its description in RNAcentral is "partial 16S ribosomal RNA". It matches the Rfam family "Bacterial small subunit ribosomal RNA", at positions 28 to 1381 of the family's 1533-position model. The record is from RNAcentral.